UCCGAUGUGGUGUAUCGGCUAGCAUCGUCCGCUUUCAUUACGAGGAAAGCUGGCUCGCAAGGGCUUCCAAUCUCUCUCGAGUCUUCCGGACAGAGCCGGGUUCGACUCCCGGCAUCGGAA
Neohortaea acidophila is the source of this 120-nucleotide non-coding RNA. NCBI's taxonomy places the organism in Eukaryota, Fungi, Ascomycota, Dothideomycetes, Mycosphaerellales, Teratosphaeriaceae. The record is from the annotation of a RefSeq genome assembly.